This 71-nucleotide transfer RNA is filed under the name Xyrias revulsus. RNAcentral's name for it is "tRNA-Pro". It matches the Rfam family "tRNA". Rfam says of the family: Transfer RNA (tRNA) molecules are approximately 80 nucleotides in length. The record is from RNAcentral. Lineage: Eukaryota; Metazoa; Chordata; Actinopteri; Anguilliformes; Ophichthidae.
CAAGGGGUAGUUUAAAGUAGUAAUUAUGGCUUUGGGAGCCAUAGGUAGGAGUUAAAGUCUUCUCCCUUUGA